Molecule: ribosomal RNA, 492 nt
Filed under: uncultured bacterium
Lineage: Bacteria
Description: partial 16S ribosomal RNA
Rfam family: Bacterial small subunit ribosomal RNA
Source: RNAcentral
AGUGAACGCUGGCGGUAGGCCUAACACAUGCAAGUCGAACGGCAGCACAGUAAGAGCUUGCUCUUACGGGUGGCGAGUGGCGGGCGGGUGAGGAAUACAUCGGAAUCUACUUUUUCGUGGGGGAUAACGUAGGGAAACUUACGCUAAUACCGCAUACGACCUACGGGUGAAAGCAGGGGAUCUUCGGACCUUGCGCGAUUGAAUGAGCCGAUGUCGGAUUAGCUAGUUGGCGGGGUAAAGGCCCACCAAGGCGACGAUCCGUAGCUGGUCUGAGAGGAUGAUCAGCCACACUGGAACUGAGACACGGUCCAGACUCCUACGGGAGGCAGCAGUGGGGAAUAUUGGACAAUGGGCGCAAGCCUGAUCCAGCCAUACCGCGUGGGUGAAGAAGGCCUUCGGGUUGUAAAGCCCUUUUGUUGGGAAAGAAAAACAGCAGGUUAAUACCCCGCUGUUCUGACGGUACCCAAAGAAUAAGCACCGGCUAACUUCGUG